Molecule: long non-coding RNA, 2796 nt
Organism: Acinonyx jubatus (cheetah)
Lineage: Eukaryota; Metazoa; Chordata; Mammalia; Carnivora; Felidae
Exons: 3
Source: RefSeq, a predicted model, not a curated record
UGGAGGGAUUUAGAUUCAAAGGUUGGGUUGGUGUUCAUUGGAAAUAUGCUUGGAAUUUACUGCAGCUGCUGGAAGUAAGAUAGCCUGGAGGUGUGCAGAUUGUAGAGCAACAGCUGUUUCGUGGAGUCCUGAAACCAAGGGGCUUGAACUCAUGACCCGAGAUCAAGAGUCAGAUGCUCCACCAACUGAGCCAGCUUUGCGCCCGCAUCCUCAUUCUUCUCAUCUGUAAAAUAUUGGAGUUGGGUUCUGUCCUUUGUAAUGGAAAAAGUCCUGACUUACCACCUGAGGCUUGGUCUGAAUCAGAUGAAGGUGGCAACAUGGCUCAAUAAAACUAACACAUAUAGAACAUCUUCUGGGGAGUGAGCACAGAGCCAGGAACUUCCCCAAAUACUCUCGCAGGGUGCAAGGGUGGCAGUGCGGUGUGGACUGACUGGACACUGGGAGGCCAACCGUGGAAGCUGAAGGCAAAAUUGUAAUGAUGCCCUGCCUGGUUGUGCUCAAAUUAAACCUCUGACUGGUUACGUUCUAGAUCUGCUGCCCCUGGUGGGAACACAAGUGUGUUCUUGUCGAGAGAAAGAAAUGGCUCUUCCAUUAUCAAGAGUCAAGAUUAUUAUUUAAGGAAAGAGAUAUGCGGAUCAAAUUGCAGAAGCUGGGAAUUCUAGUUGGUUUGGGGGAGCAGAAUAGACUUUGGAGGGAAAUGAAAUCAGGCUUCCCUGUGGUAAAUUAGCAGUUACAGUCUUGUACAUGGGAAGCUGAAAAGGAAUCAUCCACCAGGGCCGGAUCUCUUAAGAAACUAAAUACCCUGGCUACCCAGGGUACUCUUUCAGACGGCAUUAAUGAUUGACAGUACCUGUGGAAUGAUCCAUGUUGUAUGUACAUCAUUCUGUAAUUAAAGUUUUCUUUUGCCCUCUCUUGACUUCUGUGACUUGACACAUAUUGCUUACCUUGUACACAUAAUACUAGCAGCUUCUGUAUUUUGAAAGGGCUUGGAUUCUAGAUAUGAAGUCAUUGGUCAUUAACUUUUUGUUAAGCACCUGCCAAAACAUAACCACGUAGAUGCUUAAUGAGUAACAGCAUUUGCCCUGAGCUUAUUGAUCCCAUGGAAAGGUUUUGGCACUCAUACCUAUCAAGUCAUAUGUACUUUAAUCAACAUAUCCUUACCAAUUGUGUCUCCUACUUUUGGACAGCGUCACCUCUUUCCAUAUCACUACAGUAAAAAAAUACAAUUGCGCUUACAAAGAAAUGCAAUUUCUCCCACGAAAACUAGUUUCUAUGGAAUUACAUGAUCAAGCAUGAAUACGUUAGGACUUGCGGCCUAUCUCCUUUCAGGAGACAGGCCUGAUGUUUUUAUGCCUUGCCUAGUUCCACGGCUCAUGUAAAUAAUACUUACCAAGCAGCUAGAGCCCUUAGCUGGCUGCAUGCUUAAUCCUACUGAGGGCUCAAAUCAGGUUCACCCCUGCAAGUGUUGGCAAAUGUCCAGCAGAGAGUGAGGUUGUUUUGAUCAUCUUAUCUCAUGUGAGGAAGCACAGCAGGAAUGGGUAAGAAGAGCAAAGACUUUGGAAUCCUACAGAGCAGGAUCCAGACACAAAGCUCUCCUUUAUCCUAACUUCGAACCUGGGCAAGUCGCUUCAACCCUUUAAGCCUCAAUUUCUUCAUCUGUAAAAUGAAGGUUGGUUGAACCACCUCAUUGUUCUAGGAUUAAAUGAGUUAAUAGAGGUAUAAAUAGCUUAACAGAGUGCCUUCUAUGGGGUAAUCACAGAUAACUACCACUGGCUAUCAUUUCUGGCCCACGGGUAGAUCAAACAAAACUCAUAUGGCUUUCUCAGAUUCUUGUCUCUAAAUUAAAUCAAUGGUUCUAAGCUGGGGGGCAAUGUUUGCCCUCCCACUCCUAUUCACAAAGACAUUUGGCCACGUCUGGAGACAUUUUUGGUUGUCCCAACUCACAGCGGGGGUGGAGAGGGGUGGAGAGGCUGCUGCUGGCAUCCAAUGGGUAGAGGUAGUGGGAUAUAUCGUUUGUAAACUUCGGGGAUUGCAUAGACAACCCUCCCAUCCUUGUUCCCCCUUAGUGAGGAAUUAUCUGGUUCAAAAUGUCAAUAGUGCUGAGAUAGAGAAACUCUGAAGUAAAUGGAAAGGAAUCCUUCCACAGAUGAGUCACACAUCAAUCCUCAUCAAAAAACCAGUGUAUCAACAAAUACUUGCCGCUCUUGUGUUCCAGGUAUCAUAUCAUCAGCUUUUUGCAGUUUAUGCAGCAUCUUCUCAUAUAUUAAUCUACUCAUUCUGACAAAAGCCCUGAAAAAACAAGCUGGGCUGGCAUGAACCACCCCCCUCACCCCCUUUCUCUGCUGCAGACGAAAAGUCAGGCUGAGAGGUUGACUUUCUUAGAAAAACACAGAUGGUAAUUAAACCCAGAUGUUGAGUCCCAAAUACAGUGUUUCUGCCAUUCUCACAUGCCCCGCAUUGCAUUUCUGCGGGGAAUGCAGGAGACAUUUUAGACAUGGUUCCUCCCCCAAGAUUUUUACUCAACUGUUAGGAGAUUUACACCCAUGAACACUUAUGUAUACAUCCUGGGCUAUAAUAGAUACACGUUCCACCUCCCGUCCCCAUCCCUUCAGGGUUGAGAGUCCUGCCAUGCAGCUCACCUGAAACCAGUGUUUUCUUUCUCCCAAAUCUUAGAGGGCUGUUUUGCAACAAAAAUGUAGUAACUUGUCUGAAAAACCAGGGUGCUACCCUUCUUUACAAUCUGUACUUUCCUAGCAUAUGCCAUCAUGUUCCUUUUUCCCCACCAGCCCUCCUACA